RNAcentral lists this long non-coding RNA (776 nucleotides) under Olea europaea subsp. europaea. Lineage: Eukaryota; Viridiplantae; Streptophyta; Magnoliopsida; Lamiales; Oleaceae. The record is from RNAcentral.
UGCUCAGUGAAGAAGGAUUUUGAGCUGGCAAGGCGAAUUGGAGGGAAAGGACAACCUUGGUGAAAGAUUGCGCAUAAAACCAUGUCUAUCAGUAAAUAGUCAACGCCUAUUCAAUUUACAAUUGCAUUAAAUAUGUGUAUGGAAUUUUCAAAUAGUAAAAUAGUUAUUGAAGGACGGGUAUGCUCGCUAUUCCAGAACUAAGAACUUCCAAGAGGAGUCUCAAAAGCUUAUGAAUGAAGAGGUUUUCCACCUCGUUGUAGCUGGUNAAAGAUUGUGCAUAAAACCAUGUCUAUCAGUAAAUAGUCAACUCCUAUUCAAUUUACAAUUGCAUUAAAUCUAUGUAUGGAAUUCUCAAAUAGUAAAAUAGUUAUUGAAGGACGGGUAUGCUUUCUAUUCCAGAACUAAGAACUUCCAAGAGGAGUCUCAAAAGCUUAUGAAUGAAGAGGUUUUCCACCUCGUUGUAGCUGGUAGAUUUAGUUUAGUAGCCUGUUGUAAUUUCUAUUGAAGUUCGUAGAUUCUAUCACUUGCUUCAUUUUGCAGUUGCUAUGUGAAAUGGCUUUGGAAAACAGUGAAAUCAGUUAUGCUUACAAGUUACGAACCUGUGUGGAAGGUUUUGGUUGAUUUGAUUGAUUAUGCAAUCCCUAUUAGAUGUACUAAUCAACCUAGCGAAAUGGCUAAAAGUGACAAGGUAAUUGACCUCAAAUUGUGAGUCAAACUAAGUUUGUCGUUGUGAUUGAUUAUGCAUGGAGAAUGAUUCUGCUUGUUGGACAUUGUUU